Molecule: ribosomal RNA, 253 nt
Filed under: uncultured bacterium
Lineage: Bacteria
Description: partial 16S ribosomal RNA
Rfam family: Bacterial small subunit ribosomal RNA
Source: RNAcentral
UACAGAGGUCUCAAGCGUUGUUCGGAUUCAUUGGGCGUAAAGGGUGCGUAGGCGGCGCGGUAAGUCGGGUGUGAAAUCUCGGAGCUUAACUCCGAAACUGCAUUCGAUACUGCCGUGCUUGAGGACUGGAGAGGAGACUGGAAUUUACGGUGUAGCGGUGAAAUGCGUAGAUAUCGUAAGGAAGACCAGUGGCGAAGGCGGGUCUCUGGACAGUUCCUGACGCUGAGGCACGAAGGCCAGGGGAGCAAAAGGG